GACGAACGCUGGCGGCGUGCUUAACACAUGCAAGUCGAACGGAAAGGCCCUGCUUUUGUGGGGUGCUCGAGUGGCGAACGGGUGAGUAACACGUGAGUAACCUGCCCUUGACUUUGGGAUAACUUCAGGAAACUGGGGCUAAUACCGGAUAGGAUCUCCUGCUGCAUGGUGGGGGUUGGAAAGUUUCGGCGGUUGGGGAUGGACUCGCGGCUUAUCAGCUUGUUUGUGGGGUAGUUGCUUACCAAGGCUUUGACGGGUAGGCGGCCUGGGAGGGUUACCGGCCACAUUGGGACUGAGAUACGGCCCAGACGCCUACGGGAGGCAGCAGUGGGGAAUAUUGCACAAUGGGCGGAAGCCUGAUGCGGCAACGCCGCGUGCGGGAUGACGGCCUUCGGGUUGUAAACCGCUUUCGCCUGUGACGAAGCGUGAGUGACGGUAAUGGGUAAAGAAGCACCGGCUAACUACGUG
Molecule: ribosomal RNA, 468 nt
Filed under: uncultured bacterium
Lineage: Bacteria
Description: partial 16S ribosomal RNA
Rfam family: Bacterial small subunit ribosomal RNA
Source: RNAcentral